GGGGAACGACACAGGAAGAAAAAAAGGGAAACAAAUGCUCUAAAAGUCAAAGUUUCUUUACUUGAUUAUUGACUUUCUCGAUUUUUUUUUUAAAUUUUAUUU
This 102-nucleotide non-coding RNA is filed under the name Chloropicon mariensis. Lineage: Eukaryota; Viridiplantae; Chlorophyta; Chloropicophyceae; Chloropicales; Chloropicaceae. The record is from RNAcentral.